CUUCCAUGAUCACAGUUCCAGCACCAGGGCCGUGAUAACCAGCUUUCUACUGCAAAGGACAUCCAGCCUACCUGCCCUACCCAGCUACUAUCUUCAUCCUGUAAGAGCCUCAUAGAAGUUCCGUGAGCACAGAAGCACCCAGUCAUCAUUAAAUAUUUGCCAAGCUGUUAAAAUAAGUCCUCACAGUGUCACAGUGGGUUUGGGCACUUAGCAACCAUCACAGCUUCUAUACAGAUGCUCCAGGGCAGCAGUCACCUCCUCCAUAUGCGCUACAUGAGGAAAAAGCUGCAGGAAGAAAGAAUGAAUGAAAACAGUGCAAGUGUGAAGGGAAGGGGAAAGUUUCUUCUACUCCGUGGGCUCUGAGGAUCAGGCAGCACUCCAUCAUCAUCUUGGGAAGGUGAGGUAUGGAAAGUGGCAAGAUCACAUUCAAGUCCAUAGACUGUGUCCAGAGAUGCCCAGGCCCUUCUUGCUCCUCUUCAUGCUCUUGGACUUCUAACUACCCAU
Molecule: long non-coding RNA, 504 nt
Filed under: Mus spicilegus (steppe mouse)
Lineage: Eukaryota; Metazoa; Chordata; Mammalia; Rodentia; Muridae
Description: lncRNA (ENSMSIG00000015048.1)
Source: RNAcentral